AUCCUCUUCUGUUGUAUCGUCUUC
Molecule: non-coding RNA, 24 nt
Filed under: Arabidopsis thaliana (thale cress)
Lineage: Eukaryota; Viridiplantae; Streptophyta; Magnoliopsida; Brassicales; Brassicaceae
Source: RNAcentral